RNAcentral lists this ribosomal RNA (305 nucleotides) under uncultured Hypocreomycetidae. RNAcentral describes it as "partial large subunit ribosomal RNA". It matches the Rfam family "Eukaryotic large subunit ribosomal RNA", at positions 40 to 350 of the family's 3401-position model. Lineage: Eukaryota; Fungi; Ascomycota; Sordariomycetes. The record is from RNAcentral.
AUAUCAAUAAGCGGAGGAAAAGAAACCAACAGGGAUUGCCUCAGUAGCGGCGAGCGAAGCGGCAACAGCUCAAAUUUGAAAUCUGGCCUCGGCCCGAGUUGUAAUUUGUAGAGGAUGCUUUUGGUGCGGUACUUUCCGAGUUCCCUGGAACGGGACGCCUUAGAGGGUGAGAGCCCCGUACGGUUGGAUACCUAGCCUCUGUAAAGCUCCUUCGACGAGUCGAGUAGUUUGGGAGUGCAGCUCUAAAUGGGUGGUAAAUUCCAUCUAAAGCUAAAUAUUGGCGAGAGACCGAUAGCGCACAAGUA